UUGAACGCUGGCGGCAUGCUUUACACAUGCAAGUCGAACGGCAGCGCGGGCUUCGGCCUGGCGGCGAGUGGCGAACGGGUGAGUAAUGCAUCGGAACGUGCCCAGUAGUGGGGGAUAGCCCGGCGAAAGCCGGAUUAAUACCGCAUACGACCUGAGGGUGAAAGCGGGGGACCGAAAGGCCUCGCGCUAUUGGAGCGGCCGAUGUCGGAUUAGCUAGUUGGUGGGGUAAAGGCUUACCAAGGCGACGAUCCGUAGCUGGUCUGAGAGGACGACCAGCCACACUGGGACUGAGACACGGCCCAGACUCCUACGGGAGGCAGCAGUGGGGAAUUUUGGACAAUGGGGGCAACCCUGAUCCAGCCAUGCCGCGUGCGGGAAGAAGGCCUUCGGGUUGUAAACCGCUUUUGUUCGGGAAGAAAACCUCUGGGCUAAUACCCCGGGGGGAUGACGGUACCGGAAGAAUAAGCACCGGCUAACUACGUG
Molecule: ribosomal RNA, 483 nt
Filed under: uncultured bacterium
Lineage: Bacteria
Description: partial 16S ribosomal RNA
Rfam family: Bacterial small subunit ribosomal RNA
Source: RNAcentral